Molecule: non-coding RNA, 111 nt
Filed under: Arthrobacter sp.
Lineage: Bacteria; Bacillati; Actinomycetota; Actinomycetes; Micrococcales; Micrococcaceae
Description: TPP sequence
Rfam family: TPP riboswitch aptamer (THI element)
About the family: Vitamin B(1) in its active form thiamin pyrophosphate (TPP) is an essential coenzyme that is synthesised by coupling of pyrimidine and thiazole moieties in bacteria. The previously detected thiamin-regulatory element, thi box was extended, resulting in a new, highly conserved RNA secondary structure, the THI element, which is widely distributed in eubacteria and also occurs in some archaea.
Source: RNAcentral
CUCUGACCACACGGGAGCCCCGAAGCAGGGGCUGAGACAUGGGCUGAAGCUGCCCUGGACCGUUGAACCUGUCCGGGUAAUGCCGGCGAAGGAAGUGAGUUUCACCCAUGA